RNAcentral lists this ribosomal RNA (427 nucleotides) under uncultured bacterium. RNAcentral's name for it is "partial 16S ribosomal RNA". It matches the Rfam family "Bacterial small subunit ribosomal RNA", at positions 355 to 774 of the family's 1533-position model. The record is from RNAcentral.
UGGGGAAUUUUGGACAAUGGGCGCAAGCCUGAUCCAGCAAUGCCGCGUGCAGGAUGAAGGCCUUCGGGUUGUAAACUGCUUUUGUACGGAACGAAACGGCGAGCUCUAAUACAGUUUGCUAAUGACGGUACCGUAAGAAUAAGCACCGGCUAACUACGUGCCAGCAGCCGCGGUAAUACGUAGGGUGCAAGCGUUAAUCGGAAUUACUGGGCGUAAAGCGUGCGCAGGCGGUUAUGUAAGACAGAUGUGAAAUCCCCGGCCUUAACCUGGGAACUGCAUUUGUGACUGCAUAGCUAGAGUACGGUAGAGGGGGAUGGAAUUCCGCGUGUAGCAGUGAAAUGCGUAGAUAUGCGGAGGAACACCGAUGGCGAAGGCAAUCCCCUGGACCUGUACUGACGCUCAUGCACGAAAGCGUGGGGAGCAAACA